GCAUAUCAAUAAGCGGAGGAAAAGAAACCAACCGGGAUUGCCUCAGUAACGGCGAGUGAAGCGGCAAGAGCUCAAAUUUGAAAGCUGGCUCCUUCGGGGUCCGCAUUGUAAUUUGCAGAGGAUGCUUCGGGUGCGGCCCCUGUCUAAGUGCCCUGGAACGGGCCGUCAGAGAGGGUGAGAAUCCCGUCUGGGAUGGGGUGUCCGCGCCCGUGUGAAGCUCCUUCGACGAGUCGAGUUGUUUGGGAAUGCAGCUCUAAAUGGGUGGUAAAUUUCAUCUAAAGCUAAAUACUGGCCGGAGACCGAUAGCGCACAAGUAGAGUGAUCGAAAGAUGAAAAGCACUUUGAAAAGAGAGUUAAAAAGCACGUGAAAUUGUUGAAAGGGAAGCGCUUGCGACCAGACUCGCCUCCAGGGUUCAGCCGGCAUUCGUGCCGGUGUACUUCCCUGGGGGCGGGCCAGCGUCGGUUUGGGCGGCCGGUCAAAGGCUCCCGGAAUGUAGUGCCCUUCGGGGCACCUUAUAGCCGGGAGUGCAAUGCGGCCAGCCUGGACCGAGGAACGCGCUUCGGCACGGACGCUGGCAUAAUGGUCGCAAACGACCCGUCUUGAAACACGGACCAAGGAGUCUAACAUCUACGCGAGUGUUCGGGUGUCAAACCCGUACGCGCAGUGAAAGCGAACGGAGGUGGGAGCCCCCUCGCGGGGCGCACCAUCGACCGAUCCUGAUGUCUUCGGAUGGAUUUGAGUAAGAGCGUAAAUGUGGGGACCCGAAAGAUGGUGAACUAUGCCUGAAUAGGGCGAAGCCAGAGGAAACUCUGGUGGAGGCUCGCAGCGGUUCUGACGUGCAAAUCGAUCGUCAAAUUUGGGUAUAGGGGCGAAAGACUAAUCGAACCAUCUAGUAGCUGGUUCCUGCCGA
RNAcentral lists this ribosomal RNA (911 nucleotides) under Aspergillus toxicarius. Its description in RNAcentral is "LSU rRNA". It matches the Rfam family "Eukaryotic large subunit ribosomal RNA", at positions 38 to 964 of the family's 3401-position model. RNAcentral also lists the same sequence under 1 other name. The record is from RNAcentral. Lineage: Eukaryota; Fungi; Ascomycota; Eurotiomycetes; Eurotiales; Aspergillaceae.